GUAUCACGUUGUCUGCCUACCUCUCCCGUCUCCAGCCAUCUCAUCCUCCUCUGCUCCUCCUCUUCCUCACCACGUCCCAUUUACUUCUUGUGCGGCAAAACCCUUAACUCCUUCGCGAACACGGUGCUUGCUAAGGAAGCCAGGAAAGCAUUAUAGGGGGGGGGGAUCGAAGGUUUGAGGGUGAGACGACACAGAGGAAGCUUGCGGGAAGGAUCUGGACAGGAUGCAAGUGUGUUUUCAAACUAAGGAUUUGAUUAUUGCCACUGUGUUCCAAGAAGAAACCCAAAGCAUGGUACCAGCAUGAGAGAGCAAGCGGAAGGGCCCAAAUUGAUCCAAAGGGAAAGAGAAGCUGGUGAGAGCACGGCUAAGGUAGAAGAGAAGAAUUUAGCUAUUUAGUUAAUCAAUAUGAAAAAUUAAUACAUUAUGUGUUUAUAUUCCCUUUCGUGAUAUUUUAUGUGUUUGUAUUUUCUUCCUAUUUAUGAAUCAUGUAAAUUAUACUAUUAUAUUUGUAUGUACAUACAUAGGGAGGAGUACUUGGGGGUAGUUUUAAUAUGGCUGGGGUUCAAUAUAUAUUUGUAUAUAUUAAUAAUAUAUUUGUGAUAUGAGUGAAUUAGUGCUUAUAAGACAUGAUUGAUUAUAAUUGGAACAAAAAAGCAGAGUUUUCAAA
Long non-coding RNA from Neltuma alba, 667 nucleotides. RefSeq lists it as uncharacterized. The record is from RefSeq and is a predicted model, not a curated record. The transcript has 3 exons. Lineage: Eukaryota; Viridiplantae; Streptophyta; Magnoliopsida; Fabales; Fabaceae.